This 252-nucleotide ribosomal RNA is filed under the name uncultured bacterium. RNAcentral's name for it is "partial 16S ribosomal RNA". It matches the Rfam family "Bacterial small subunit ribosomal RNA", at positions 524 to 774 of the family's 1533-position model. The record is from RNAcentral.
GACAGAGGGUGCAAACGUUGCUCGGAAUUACUGGGCGUAAAGGGCGCGUAGGCGGUACUUCAAGUCAGGCGUGAAAGCCCCGGGCUCAACCUGGGAACCGCGCUUGAGACUGGAGAACUAGAGUUCGGGAGAGGAUGGUGGAAUUCCCCAGUGUAGAGGUGAAAUUCGUAGAUAUCAAGCAGAACACCUGCGGCGAAGGCGGCCUUCUGGACGAUGACUGACGCUGAGACACGAAAGCGUGGGGAGCGAAAC